GACGAACGCUGGCGGCGUGCUUAACACAUGCAAGUCGAACGGAAAGGCCCUGCUUUUGUGGGGUGCUCGAGUGGCGAACGAGUGAGUAACACGUGAGUAACCUGCCCUUGACUUUGGGGUAACUUCAGGAAACUGGGGCUAAUACCGGAUAGGAGCUCCUGCUGCAUGGUGGGGGUUGGAAAGUUUCGGCGGUUGGGGAUGGACUCGCGGCUUAUCAGCUUGUUGGUGGGGUAGUGGCUUACCAAGGCUUUGACGGGUAGCCGGCCUGAGAGGGUGACCGGCCACAUUGGGACUGAGAUACGGCCCAGACUCCUACGGGAGGCAGCAGUGGGGAAUAUUGCACAAUGGGCGGAAGCCUGAUGCAGCAACGCCGCGUGCGGGAUGACGGCCUUCGGGUUGUAAACCGCUUUCGCCUGUGACGAAGCGUGAGUGACGGUAAUGGGUAAAGAAGCACCGGCUAACUACGUG
This 468-nucleotide ribosomal RNA is filed under the name uncultured bacterium. RNAcentral describes it as "partial 16S ribosomal RNA". It matches the Rfam family "Bacterial small subunit ribosomal RNA", at positions 28 to 507 of the family's 1533-position model. The record is from RNAcentral.